RNAcentral lists this unclassified non-coding RNA (332 nucleotides) under soil metagenome. RNAcentral's name for it is "partial contains 5.8S ribosomal RNA, internal transcribed spacer 2, and large subunit ribosomal RNA". The stretch from base 1 to 120 matches the Rfam family "5.8S ribosomal RNA", at positions 35 to 154 of the family's 154-position model. The record is from RNAcentral.
GAUGAAGAACGCAGCAAAAUGCGAUAAGUAAUGUGAAUUGCAGAAUUCAGUGAAUCAUCGGAUCUUUGAACGCACAUUGCGCCCGCCAGUAUUCUGGCGGGCAUGCCUGUUCGAGCGUCAUUUCAACCCUCAAGCACAGCUUGGUGUUGGGACUCGCGUUAAUUCGCGUUCCCCAAAUUGAUUGGCGGUCACGUCGAGCUUCCAUAGCGUAGUAGUAAAACCCUCGUUACUGGUAAUCGUCGCGGCCACGCCGUUAAACCCCAACUUCUGAAUGUUGACCUCGGAUCAGGUAGGAAUACCCGCUGAACUUAAGCAUAUCAAUAAGCGGAGGA